AAUAUGUUAAAUCUUUGUUUCCAUUGUGAAGAUUUUGGUUUUACUACUAAAUGGAACUUUUUUGCAACUAGUCACGGUAAGCAACCUUGUGAUGGGAUAGGUGGUACAGUCAAACGUCUGGCAACACUAGCAAGUUUGCAAAGAGAUAUGGGUAGGCACUAAGCUAUGCAGUGUUGAUGAAGAAUUUGCUUUAAUUCAUGACUUUGGAAAUAUCCAGAUAACAACUGUAAACCUAGUACCAGGUGAUUAUGUCUGUGUUUCCUAUGAGCAAAAGUGGUGGAUAGGAGCCAUUGAAGAUAUUAAUUUAGAAGAAAAAGAUGUGCUUGAAAAAUUUAUGUGUCCUAAUGGUCCUGCACGGUCGUUUAAAUGGCCACCAAAGGAAAGCCAAUGCUGGAUUCCUGAUGUCCACAUUAUUUGCAAAGUUGAGGUACCGAUAA
Hydra vulgaris (swiftwater hydra) is the source of this 437-nucleotide non-coding RNA. NCBI's taxonomy places the organism in Eukaryota, Metazoa, Cnidaria, Hydrozoa, Anthoathecata, Hydridae. The record is from RefSeq and is a predicted model, not a curated record.